CUUAGAUUACAUAUUAUAAUGGCUGUUAAAACUUCAACUGUCUACAAAUAUCUAUGAACAGUGAAGGAAAAAAAUGGCCAAGCAAAAGUGCCGACCUGAUGAACUUGGGAACUUCAAAACGGCUGACCAGUGGAAAAAAAAUGUGGCGAUAUGACAAAGCUUCUACUCGAAAAAAAAUACAGAUUUAAAAAAGUACCUUGGUUAAACUGAAAAUAAAACCACUAGAAUGCCUCCAGAAUUAAGUGAAAGGGAGAAAUUAUUAUUUGUAAAGAAACAUCAGAAGGUAUCGGUGUAGGUGAAGUUAGAUUUGGACAGGCUACAUUCAACCCAAAUAUCGAUGACUACCAUUUUGAAUGUAUCGGACUUGAGGAUCACAACAAAUUAAUAUAUACUGCAGGGGUGGCCAAACGGUUGAUUGCGAUUGACUGGUCGAUCUUGGACGAUUUCUAAGUCAAUCCCCUUGUUAGAAUUUAUUAGUUAUUCUUAUGCAUUUGUCAUUUAGUAGAUUCAGUUAUUAAAUACAUAUAUUUUGAAUUAACCUGUUAGUGUUAAAUGGCAUUUUUCACAUGACAUUUAUAAAAGCUGAGUAGGUUAGGCUUAGACUUAAGCACGGAGUCUUCGUUUGGCCAUGAUAUAUGCAAUGACACGCUUCUACAUCAACAGUAAAAUGUUAAUACUUUUUAAAAUUAUUUAGAAAUUUAAUGUGAAACACUCAUUUUAGAUAACUUAACACUUUAAUUUUUUUUUAUAUAAGUAUGUUUAUUAUUUAUAUUAAAUCAUUUUUUUACAUUAGUCGAUCCUAAAAGAAAAAAUAUUCCCUCAGUAGAUCUUAAUCAAAAAAAGUUUGGCCACCCCUGAUAUACUUUAAUUGAAGUAGAGGAUUUAAGUGAAACUAUUAUUAAUGCAGAAGACGUAUUUUAAUUUUACAAAAUGUACCCAAGUCAAAAUGGAACAACCAAGUCAGAAAAAAAGAAAAAAGUACAAUGUUUAUGAUGAACGACUGUUUAAAAUUGUAAUGGAAAACGUGCAGAUUUGGUUGAACACUUGGGAAAUAUGUAUCCAUGAACAACUUAUCCACCAAACUUAUCCACCAAAAUGAAUUCCUGACCAAGAUAGAAACCAGAGGACCGAGUGAUAUUGAUAUCAAAAAUUAAAUUCAAAAAUCAUUUAUUAUGGGAUUGUGGCUUUGAAUAUGUGUUAACUGGAAAAAUGAACCAAGGUCCCUUGGAAGUUUAUUUGCAGUUGUUCACUUGCAAAAAAAGAGUAACCUAAUCUGAUUUUAACUUGGAUAUGUCAAAAAAUAAAUGUAUAUCAGUAUUAUUGUCUAAUCAUGGUCGUGUGAAAGUCCAAAUAGUUGAAAAUGUCUUCAUUUGCAUAGCAUGACUUUUAUCUCAAACGUUAAAAUUUUACUGGGAAUUCGGAUUAUACAGAUCAUUAAACAUCAACAUACUCCACCACUAUGAUGACAGAAAAUUACUUAUUGUGUUUCAUUGUUACCUACUCAAAUUGAUGAUUUAUUAUCUAUUUGCAUGAACUCUUGACUAAAUAAAUAGGCAUAUCAGCAUAGUGCAAAUGUUAAAAAAAUAAAUGAGAACCUACUUGGUAUAAUAAAACAUAACAUGUAUGUUUGGUUGUCAAAUCUUAUAGCUCAACUGACAAAAGACAAAUAUGUCGUAUGAUAUUUGUUAAGAGGACACCACACACAUUGUUGGUUCUGUUGUACACACGCCAAAAUUUAUUUAGCAUCAAAUCCGUAAAGCAGAAAUAAUUUAUAUAACCUGUUUUAAAACAAAAGCAUGGAACAAAAUUUCAAGAUCAGAAAUAGUUUAUAUAUUCUCCAUAAAGUAAAUUUGCUCUAAUAUUAACUAUAAUCAAACUAUUCUAAGAAUUUGGUACAUAAACUUGAUAUGUUUUAUUAUGUUUAAGUCAGAGACAACAAUUAAUUUGU
This 1948-nucleotide long non-coding RNA is filed under the name Acyrthosiphon pisum (pea aphid). RNAcentral's name for it is "uncharacterized LOC107883785". Lineage: Eukaryota; Metazoa; Arthropoda; Insecta; Hemiptera; Aphididae. The record is from RNAcentral.